UACGUAGGGUGCGAGCGUUAAUCGGAAUUACUGGGCGUAAAGCGUGCGCAGGCGGCUUUGCAAGACAGAUGUGAAAUCCCCGGGCUCAACCUGGGAAUUGCGCUUGUGACUGCAAGGCUGGAGUGCGGCAGAGGGGGAUGGAAUUCCGCGUGUAGCAGUGAAAUGCGUAGAUAUGCGGAGGAACACCAAUGGCGAAGGCAAUCCCCUGGGCCUGUACUGACGCUCAUGCACGAAAGCAUGGGGAGCAAACAGG
This 253-nucleotide ribosomal RNA is filed under the name uncultured bacterium. RNAcentral describes it as "partial 16S ribosomal RNA". It matches the Rfam family "Bacterial small subunit ribosomal RNA", at positions 524 to 776 of the family's 1533-position model. The record is from RNAcentral.